ACUCCUACGGGAGGCAGCAGUAGGGAAUCUUCCACAAUGGGUGCAAACCUGAUGGAGCAAUGCCGCGUGAGUGAAGAAGGUCUUCGGAUCGUAAAGCUCUGUUGUUAGAGAAGAACACGUGCUAGGUAACUACUAGCGCCUUGACGGUAUCUAACCAGAAAGUCACGGCUAACUACGUGCCAGCAGCCGCGGUAAUACGUAGGUGACAAGCGUUGUCCGGAUUUAUUGGGCGUAAAGGGAGCGCAGGCGGUCUGUUUAGUCUAAUGUGAAAGCCCACGGCUUAACCGUGGAACGGCAUUGGAAACUGACAGACUUGAAUGUAGAAGAGGAAAAUGGAAUUCCAAGUGUAGCGGUGGAAUGCGUAGAUAUUUGGAGGAACACCAGUGGCGAAGGCGAUUUUCUGGUCUAACAUUGACGCUGAGGCUCGAAAGCGUGGGGAGCGAACAGGAUUAGAUACCCCGGUAGUCCCA
This 470-nucleotide ribosomal RNA is filed under the name uncultured organism. Its description in RNAcentral is "partial 16S ribosomal RNA". It matches the Rfam family "Bacterial small subunit ribosomal RNA", at positions 335 to 797 of the family's 1533-position model. The record is from RNAcentral.